This 1380-nucleotide unclassified non-coding RNA is filed under the name Hevea brasiliensis (rubber tree). Lineage: Eukaryota; Viridiplantae; Streptophyta; Magnoliopsida; Malpighiales; Euphorbiaceae. The record is from RNAcentral.
CAUGACAUUGCAUCAAUUGCAUGUUCCUUUUGUGUCGGUCUUGUGGAGCAACUAACUAGGAAACAUGGAUAUAAAUGCAGAAUUUGGAAAUAAAAUGAUAUUGUAGGGAUAGUGGCAAUGCGCCAGUUAACGAUUAAGACACUGUGGCUACUGCUAGUAUAUGUAAAUAGAACUUAGAAGUUACAAGAAGUUCUUGCAUACAUGCAUAUACAUUCUAUUUGUCUUUGCCUUGAAAGGCUGCAAAGAAAUGCAAAAGAAAAAUUUCUUUCGAGCUUCCUUUGAUAUCAGGGUUGAAAAUCUCUAUAAAACAUUUAUUUGAAUGCUUUCGGAGUAUUCAUGCUCUGAGCUUAUCCAUCUUUAAAAUUUGUCGUCAUGCACCUUUGUGGGAUACUUCUGUGCAAGAUGGACCUUUAAAUGUGGUAAGGGUGUUGCUUUCAAGCUAGGGGUAGGCAGAACAAAGACUUGUUCCAAACUAGCAGGGUCAUAAGGGAUCUUAUUUUUUAAGAACUUGAAUGGAAAUAUGCCCUAAAUAGAAUGGAUUGGAGCAAAAUGAUUCACACAGCUGAUACUAGCUAAUUUGAUUUAAGGCUUAAUUGAGGUGAAUUAAGUUUUAAUUCAAUAUUUGGGACUAUGCUUGUUGGUGCUGUUUUGAUGUGUUUGUGGUCCUUUUAUAGAGGCCACAGGUACUGCCACUUGAGAUUUUGGCCAAAGAUGCCAUGAAUACUUCCAUGUUGAUUAUCAUGUUCAAGUCCUGUGAAGCACAAUUGUAAGCUGCUUCAGGUCAUCCUGAACCUCUGCUUUGAUGCUAACUUUAACCUAGGCCAAUCAUAUGGUACCUUGCAUUCUAACUAAUGAUUGACCCUAAUUUCUACCAUUCUCUGAAAAUAUCCAUUUGCCUGUCUUUGGUGUGCACUUGGAAUCUUAAUAAAAAGUGAUCCUUCAAAAGUUGAAAACUUCGUCUGACCUUUUCCUUAUUUGGGUAAAGAGUAAGAACUUCUACAGUGAGUCAGCAAAUAUCUGACAACUGGAAACAUUGGUGAUGUCCAUUUACCUUUUAUCAUUUGUGUCUGGCCUAGUACUAUACUUGCAUGGUAUGGCCCAGUGAAUGCGUAAAGAUUUGCUUACUCUGAUUAUUCAUGUUGGAGGACAUUGAAUCUCUAAAAGAUUCCUGGACAUAUAUAUCAAUUUUGGUCUCUGCUUGCCAUGUGAUCUUAGUUUCAGAAAUUGAGAGUGUGAUCCAUUGUUCUGAAACCUGAUUUAGGAGAAAAUAUUGUGUGACAAGGUGAUCUUUGCUCAUCUGAACAUAAAAUUAUGUUUGAAUGUUUGUUCAUUUUUUGCCCUUCUUCAACCUUUGAGUGCAGAACUAUUCUGGGGAAGAGG